Fukomys damarensis (Damara mole-rat) is the source of this 104-nucleotide small nuclear RNA. The record is from Ensembl. NCBI's taxonomy places the organism in Eukaryota, Metazoa, Chordata, Mammalia, Rodentia, Bathyergidae.
AUAUUAGUUUCAGCAGCACAUAUACUAAACUUGAAAUGAUACAGAGAUUAGUGUGGCCCCUUCAUAAAGAUGACACACAAAUUUAUUUAUUAUUCCAUAUUUUU